Molecule: ribosomal RNA, 1778 nt
Filed under: Ceratodictyon spongiosum
Lineage: Eukaryota; Rhodophyta; Florideophyceae; Rhodymeniales; Lomentariaceae
Description: SSU rRNA
Rfam family: Eukaryotic small subunit ribosomal RNA
Source: RNAcentral
CACCUGGUUGAUCCUGCCAGUGGUAUAUGCUUGUCUCAAGGACUAAGCCAUGCAAGUGUAAGUAUGAGGAAGAUUAUACAACGAAACUGCGAAUGGCUCGGUAAAACAGCAAUAAUUUCUUCGAUGCUAUUUACUUUACGGAUAACCGUAGUAAUUCUAGAGCUAAUACGUACUUGUGGGACUUUUUUUUCGUCUUACAUGGUAUAAAUUAGAUACACAAGCCAACUUGUUGGUGAUUCAUAAUUUCUUUUCCGAUCUCCUUUUGGAGACGCAUCGUUCAAAUUUCUGACCUAUCAACUUUGGAUGGUAAGGUAGUGUCUUACCAUGGUUUUGACGGGUAACGGACCGUGGGUGCGGGGUUCCGGAGAGGGAGCCUGAGAAACGGCUACCACAUCCAAGGAAGGCAGCAGGCGCGUAACUUACCCAAUCCGAAAUCCGGGAGGUAGUGACAAGAAAUAUCAAUAGAGGACCCAAUGGGUCUUCUAAUUGGAAUGAGAACAAGGUAAACAUCUUAUCGAGGAUCCAGCAGAGGGCAAGUCUGGUGCCAGCAGCCGCGGUAAUUCCAGCUCUGUAAGCGUAUACCAAAGUUGUUGCAGUUAAAACGCUCGUAGUCGAACCUUGGCGGGUUGUUUUGCGUCAUCCUCACGGAUGGCUGUGAAUCGUCCGCCUUUGUGGAGGGGGGUGCAGCGGUUCUUCACUGAAUUACUGCAUUUCCGCCACCGUCUACUGUGAAAAAAUUAGAGUGUUCAAAGCAGGCAAUGGCCGUGAAUACAUUAGCAUGGAAUAAUAGAAUAGGACCUGUGUUCUAUUUUGUUGGUUUGUUAGAAACGGGUAAUGAUUAAGAGGGAUGGUUGGGGGCAUUUGUAUUUCAGCGCUAGAGGUGAAAUUCUUGGAUUGUUGGAAGACAAACUGCUGCGAAAGCGUCUGCCAAGGACAUUUUCAUUGAUCAAGAACGAAAGUAAGGGGAUCGAAGACGAUCAGAUACCGUCGUAGUCUUUACUAUAAACGAUGAGGACUGGAGAUCGGGCGGGGCUGUUUUUGGCCCGUUCGGCAUCCCCCUGGGAAACCAAAGUGUUUGCUUUCUGGGGGGAGUAUGGUCGCAAGGCUGAAACUUAAAGGAAUUGACGGGAGGGCAUCACUGGGUGUGGAGCCUGCGGCUUAAUUUGACUCAACACGGGGAAACUUACCAGGUCCGGACAUAGUGAGGAUUGACAGAUUGAGAGCUCUUUCUUGAUUCUAUGGUUGGUGGUGCAUGGCCGUUCUUAGUUGGUGGAGUAGUCUGUCUGGUUAAUUCCGUUAACGAGCGAGACCUGGGCGUGUUAGCUAGAAAUCACUACACUUUUGCGGUAGUGAUCCUUCUUCCUAAACGGACUGCGGCCAUGUAGGCCGCGGAAGCUCUAGGCAAUAACAGGUCUGAGAUGCCCUUAGAUGUUCUGGGCCGCACGCGUGCUACACUGAGCGGAUCAACGGGUGAGGAUGCGCGAAAGCGUUUCCUAACCUCUAAAUCCGCUCGUGAUGGGGAUUGAGGCUUGCAAUUUUCCCUCAUGAACGAGGAAUACCUUGUAGGCACGGGUCAUCAUCCCGUGCCGAAUACGUCCCUGCCCUUUGUACACACCGCCCGUCGCUCCUACCGAUUGAGUGGUCCGGUGAGGCCUUGGGAGGGCUAGAUGGUUUGUCUUUACAGACUGUCUGGUCUAAACUUGGUCAAACCUUAUCACUUAGAGGAAGGAGAAGUCGUAACAAGGUUUCCGUAGGUGAACCUGCAGAAGGAUCAAGCU